GGCAGGGUAGCUCAGGGGUAGAGCAGGAGACUCAUAAGCUCUUGGUCGGGAGUUCAACUCUCCCUCCUGCCA
This is a transfer RNA of 72 nucleotides. It matches the Rfam family "tRNA". From Rfam's summary of the family: Transfer RNA (tRNA) molecules are approximately 80 nucleotides in length. Their secondary structure includes four short double-helical elements and three loops (D, anti-codon, and T loops). The record is from Rfam.